Molecule: ribosomal RNA, 751 nt
Filed under: uncultured archaeon
Lineage: Archaea
Description: bacterial SSU rRNA
Rfam family: Archaeal small subunit ribosomal RNA
Source: RNAcentral
GGACAACCUCGGGAAACUGAGGACAAUCCCGGAUAGGCGAUGGACGCUGGAAUGCCUCAUCGCCCAAAGCUCCGGCGCUCGAGGAUGAGACUGCGGCCUAUCAGGCUGUUGGUGGUGUAACGGACCACCAAACCUACGACGGGUAUGGGCAAUGAGAGUUGGAGCCCAGAGAUGGGGGCUGAGACACGGCCCCAGGCCCUACGGGGCGCAGCAGGCGCGAAAACUCCGCAAUACGCGAAAGCGUGACGGGGGAACUCCAAGUGCGCUCGCGCAAGCGAGUGCUUUUGCAGAGUCUAAAAAGCUCUGAGAAUAAAAGCGGGGUAAGACCGGUGCCAGCCGCCGCGGUAACACCGGCCGCUUGAGUGGUGACCGCUAUUAUUGGGCCUAAAGCGUCCGUAGCCGGUUUGGCAAGUCUUUAGAUAAAUCCACUCGUUCCACGAAUGGAAUUCUGAGGAUACUACCAGACUCGGGGGCGAGAGAAGUCGGAGGUACUUCUGGGGUAGCGGUGAAAUGUUAUAAUCCUAGAGGGACCACCAGUGGCGAAGGCGUCCGACUAGAGCGCGCCCGACGGUGAGGGACGAAAGCCAGGGGAGCGAACGGGAUUAGAUACCCCGGUAGUCCUGGCCGUAAACGCUGCGGGCUAGGUGUUACGUCCUCUACGUGGGGGCGUAGUGCCGUAGAGAAGUUGAUAAGCCUGCCGCCUGGGAAGUAUUACCGCAAGGUAGAAACUUAAAGGAAUUGGCGGGGGAGC